This 390-nucleotide ribosomal RNA is filed under the name uncultured Glomeromycotina. RNAcentral describes it as "eukaryotic LSU rRNA". Lineage: Eukaryota; Fungi; Glomeromycota. The record is from RNAcentral.
UUGAAAGGGAAACGAUUGAAGUCCAGUUCGUACCGGGUGGGUAAAUCAACCUUUCGGCGGGGAUUAUGUUGGAGCGGUGAGGAAGUUAAACGCCCUUCAUGCCCGCCAUAUUCGUGUUUCUUUGGGUGUACUUUACCCGGCAUGGUAGGUUAACGUCCAAAUUUCGAACCGUCAUAAAAAUGGGUGGGGGAAAGUAGCUUCGAUCUCGUAUUGAAGUGUUAAAAACCUCCGGCAGAUGUGAUGAUCGGGAUUGAGGAUUGCAACGGAUACCCUUCUGGGCUACCCGCCUGAUCUCUGAAAGUUGCUCUGGUGCCGAAAGCUCGCUUACGGUCAUCAAAGUUGACGUUCAACAGGUUAGAACGGGAUAAAUUCGUUAAGGAUGUUGACGUA